CAGCUCGUUGGUGGGGUAAGAGCCUACCAAGGCGACGAUCGGUAGCUGGUCUGAGAGGACGAGCAGCCACACUGGGAUUGAGAACGGCCCAGACUCCUACGGGGGGCAGCAGUGAGGAAUUUUCGGCAAUGGAGGCAACUCUGACCGAGCAACGCCGCGUGCAGGAAGACGGUCUUCGGAUUGUAAACUGCUUUACUGGGGGAAGAGCAAGGACGGUACCCCAGCAAUCAGCCCCGGCUAACUACGUGCCAGCAGCCGCGGUAAUACGUAGGGGGCAAGCGUUGUCCGGAGUUACUGGGCGUAAAGCGCACGCAGGCGGCCCAGCGCGUUGGCGGUGCCAGUUCCUCGCUUACCGAGGAGAGUGUCGCCAAGACGGCUGGGCUUGAGAGCCUCAGAGGAACCUAGAAUUCCGGGUGGAGUGGUGAAAUGCGUAGAGAUCCGGAGGAAUACCAAAGGCGCAGGCAGGGUUCUGGGAGGCGACUGACGCUGAGGUGCGAAAGCCAGGGGAGCGAACGGGAUUAGAUACCCCGGUAGUCCUGGCCGUAAACGAUGACCACCAGUGUGGGAGGUAUCGACCCCUUCCGUGCCGACGCAAACGCAUUAAGUGGUCCGCCUGGGGAGUACGGUCGCAAGAU
This 635-nucleotide ribosomal RNA is filed under the name uncultured bacterium. RNAcentral's name for it is "SSU rRNA". It matches the Rfam family "Bacterial small subunit ribosomal RNA", at positions 242 to 894 of the family's 1533-position model. The record is from RNAcentral.